UAAAGGGCGUUGGUACCUGUUGAAAGAUUUUAUGUUUUAUAUGUUUUUAUUCGUUGUUUUAUUAUCUUUCAUUAACAAGCAUAUCAUGAAGUGUUCAUAUAUUUCAUAAGAUUUGCUGAACUUUUCCACUGUUGUGCAAGCUGACAGUUAACUCUACAACAUAAAUAAGUUAAACCGGAAACAGAUGCAGCACCCAAACCACAAGAGUUCAAAAGUGCACCACGUUUCCUAAAAAGAAGUAGCCAGACACACAUGUGACUCACACACUCCCACACACACAACCAUUGGAUUAGAGGAACUUCUAAAAGAGGAAAUGUGAUGUACUUGCAUACGCGAUGUAACCUAUAAAUAAAGAACUGUGCCUGCACUCAGGGUGUGGGUCUCGCCAGAGUCCUCACCCGUGCGCGGGGUCUCGCCAGAGGCCUCACGCAUGCACGUUGCUGUUAUUAUAUUCUAACUGUCUGAGUGUCUUUAUUCAACCUGAAGAAUGUCUUAUUAAAAAUAAACUCUUGACAUUUAAUUGGUCCUUCGAGUCCGGAUGUAGGACAUCGAAUUAUAACUAAUUUUAUGCUCCAACGGAGUGACCUCGUCGUUUCCUGACAUCGUGGAGAGCCCGCGCUGAAGUCUGUCGACAGCCUCUUUCCUAUGAAGGAGAAAAAGACCAACUGCGUGAAUUCGGGGUUGGCCAGCGUUCUUAGUAAGAGGUCCACGAUCCUGGGGAACGAGGAGGAAUCUCUGACCGGCACUUAUAUCAUCAUAACCAGUCUCUUCCAGGUUGAAACCAGGCGACUGGAUCCUGAUCAAGGUACUCCAGAGGAAAAACUGGAGCUCUCCGAGGUGGGAGGGCCCUUAUCAGGUCCUGCUCACAACACCGACAGCGUGCAAAAUCGCUGAAAGACCUUCCUGGAUCCACCAGAGCCACGCCAAAAAAGUACAAGGGGACACAAGCCCAGACACCAGUCCACCUAUCAUCUAGUGAUCUGUAAGUGGAGGAGAGGGCAGAUUGGGUAUACCCCGCCCUCUUGACUUCUCGCUUUCAGUCGACACACUAGGUGAUCUGGUGAACUUGGUCGACCUGAAGAAACCCCAUUGUAGCCCGAGCACCGACCUAGCCCCACCUGCCCGGUAGAGUAAAGGAAGAUCAGUCCAACCUGCAAAACCAGAAGAGCAACCCAUCACCCAAGUAACUACUCAGACACUCACAAACAAUGCCUGACAUAGACGUGCAAAAUGAACAUUCAGACAUUUCAGAUGGAGAGGACCCAGUCCCCAACAGGACUCGACGACGAUGCUGGUCAGAGGAAUGCCAACUAAUGCAUAAUUAUGUACCCCAUAACAAAAUUGAAAUGGCAUUCUUUGUAAACCUAAUACAAACUCUAGAAACAGUAAUAAAUACAAGUCUGCGUGCAUGUGCUCCAAAAGAACCAAUAAAGAGCUUAAUAACACUUCCGGUCACACCGCCCGAAAUAGCCCAUAACAUGACCAUGGUCUGCCUAUGGAGACUUAGAGUCCCAGAAAAGCAGGGUGUAUCUUUUGUUUAUCCAAAUAAGACACUGCAACCGGAAUCUUCCUGGCACAAGCUUAUAGCCCGAUAGCAACUGAGGAAGAAGAAGACUGUGUUUAAAAAUUUUCCUGUACUUCACAUGAUGUAGCAAUUGAAAAUGCGCGAGCAAGUGAUUGUCUACUGAAGUCUAUAGAGUAUGUGUGAAAUAUAUUAACAACAGGAGGGAAUGUUGAAAGAUUUUAUGUUUUAUAUGUUUUUAUUCGUUGUUUUAUUAUCUUUCAUUAACAAGCAUAUCAUGAAGUGUUCAUAUAUUUCAUAAGAUUUGCUGAACUUUUCCACUGUUGUGCAAGCUGACAGUUAACUCUACAACAUAAAUAAGUUAAACCGGAAACAGAUGCAGCACCCAAACCACAAGAGUUCAAAAGUGCACCACGUUUCCUAAAAAGAAGUAGCCAGACACACAUGUGACUCACACACUCCCACACACACAACCAUUGGAUUAGAGGAACUUCUAAAAGAGGAAAUGUGAUGUACUUGCAUACGCGAUGUAACCUAUAAAUAAAGAACUGUGCCUGCACUCAGGGUGUGGGUCUCGCCAGAGUCCUCACCCGUGCGCGGGGUCUCGCCAGAGGCCUCACGCAUGCACGUUGCUGUUAUUAUAUUCUAA
Oreochromis aureus is the source of this 2171-nucleotide long non-coding RNA. RefSeq lists it as uncharacterized. The record is from RefSeq and is a predicted model, not a curated record. NCBI's taxonomy places the organism in Eukaryota, Metazoa, Chordata, Actinopteri, Cichliformes, Cichlidae. The transcript has 2 exons.